GGGGCAGCAGCAGACGCUGCGCGGGACAUCCCACCCCCAGCGCCAGGCGGCGGGGGCCCACCGAGAAGCAAGAGGGCUCCAGACACAGGGCCACUGUGACGCAGCGAGGCCCUGGCCAGUGCACAGGCGGCCGUCGGCAGGUGGGGCUGGCCAGCGAGGGGGACGCUGGGCUAACAAACCAGGCGGUGCAGCCUGCGGCGGUGCCCAGUGCACCCGACCUCCAGUGCCACAGCGCCCACCGCGUCCACGUCGCAGUAGGUGUGACUCAUCGGGAGGCCAUAUCAAGUGCACAAGGGGAUGUGUACAGGUUUAUACAAACGCCACAUUUUCUAUAAAGGACUAUCAUCCUGGAAAAGGGGGCGGGGCAGUAAAACACCGUGUCCCUGAAUGCCCCCCCCCCCUUUCUAAACCUAUGUAUUUUUACUUGUCCUUUUUAGAUAUACAUGACAGUAGAGUGCAUUUUGACAUACAUUCAUAGAGUAUAACUUCCCAUUCCUGGGGUUGUACAUGAUGUGGAGUUACACUGGUCGUGUGUUCACAUAUGAACAUAGGAAAGUGAUGUGCGGUUCAUUCUACUGUCUCUACGAUUCUCAUCCCCCUUCCCUUCUCAUCAUUCCAUUUGUCUAAUCCAAUGAACUUCUAUCCCCACCCCCUCUUAUUGUGUUAGCAUCUGCAUAUCUUCAUAUCAGAGGGAACAACCAGCCUUUGGUUUUUUGGGAAUUGCUUAUUUCACAUAGCUCGAUAGUCUCCGGUUCCAUCCAUUUACCAGCAAACACCAUAAUUUUAUUCUUCUUUAUGGCUGAGUAAUAUUUCAUUGUAGGUGUGUGUGUGUGUCUAUCUCACAUUUCUUUCUCCAUUCAUCUGUUGAAGGGCACCUAGGUUGGUCCCAUAGCUUGGUUAUUGUGAACUGAGCUGCUAUAAACAUUAAUGUGGCUGUGUCACUGAAAUAUGCUGAUUUUAAGUCCUUUGGGUAUAUACUGAGGAGUAUAUAACUGAGUCAAAUGGUGGUUCCAUUCCAAGUUUUCUGAGGGCUCUCCAUAUUGUUUUCCAGAGUGCUUGCACAAAUCUGCAGUCCCAACAGCAGUGUUAUGAGUGUACCUUUCCCCCCACAUCCUUGCCAACUUAUUGUUACCUGUAGUCUUGAUAACUGCCAUGUGACUGGAGUGAGAGGGAAUCUCAGUGUAGUUUUUUUUUUUUUUAAUAUUUAUUUUUAGUUUUCGGCGGACACAAUAUCUUUGUUUGUAUGUGGUGUUGAGGAUCGAACCCGGGCUGCACGCAUGCCAAGCGAGCGCGCUACCGCUUGAGCCACAUCCCCAGCCUCAGUGUAGUUUUAUUUUGCAUUUCUCUAAUUGCUAAAGAUGUUGAAUUUUUUCAUAUAUUUGUAGGUCAUUCGUAUUUCUUCUUCUGUGAAGUGCAUGUUCAGGUCCUUUGCCCAUUUUUUGACUGGGUUAUAUGGUUUGUGGUAAGUUUUUUGAGUUCUUUAUAUAUCCAGGAGAUUAAUGCUCUAUCUGAGGUGCAGGUGGCAAAGAUUUUCUCCCAUUCUGCAGGCUCUCUGAUUCUUGAUUUUACUUCUUGCACCUUAGGAGUCUUGCUGACAGGAUUGAGAGUUGGACCUACAGUUUCUUCUAGCAGGUGCUCCUUGGGAUGCUGGUCAUACAAGCAAGCUCAGCAAACUGAUGCCAACAAUGUUGCUGCUUCUGAAGCCUAACAGCUGUCACUUUGUGGAGACAGCAGUUCGAUUCCAGCCACCAGAGCAUGGCUGUAGGGACGAUCUGAUGUGCCAUCAUCAAUAUCUUCACAAUGACAGCUUUGCAUCCGGAGUGAUCCCAUCUCCCAUGGUGUCUCCAGGCACUUUCUUUGGCAUGUCUACAACCUACUCCACUGCCCUGGCACACCUGGGCAAAGGGCGAGACAAGGGACGUGAGAAUGUGUGGAUUUUGAUAUCUGCUCUUGCAGAGGAGGGACGGUGUGUGUGUGUGUGUGUGUGUGUGUACUGGGACCAAUUCCACUGAGAUACUGCUGGACAACUGUAUACCUCAUGAGUCAAACAAGUGAUGUGUUCCUUUAACAUGUGUGCAUGUACUUGUAAAUGAUUAAAAGAUUUGGAGUCUAGGCAAGCACUCCAUUAUUGAGUUACCUCCCCAACCCCCAACUUUUUUUUUUUUUUAAGUUUAGCCUUGAGUG
Molecule: long non-coding RNA, 2184 nt
Organism: Marmota monax (woodchuck)
Lineage: Eukaryota; Metazoa; Chordata; Mammalia; Rodentia; Sciuridae
Exons: 3
Source: RefSeq, a predicted model, not a curated record